UAAUGUCCUUCGCUAACAGCAGCCC
Molecule: non-coding RNA, 25 nt
Filed under: Mus musculus (house mouse)
Lineage: Eukaryota; Metazoa; Chordata; Mammalia; Rodentia; Muridae
Source: RNAcentral